UCUUAUCUGGAUACAAACGUCGAGGAACGAACAACAGAUAAGCAACCGUCUGUUUGUUAUUCGUCGAACGAAAAUUGGAUGUCUAAUUCUGCAUAGAAGUAAUUCUGCAUAAGUACAGUGCAGUUAGCGUAGACAAGUAUAGAAUAAGUUGUGUCAGGGUAAAAGGAUAGAAUUCUUGUGUAGAUACACGUCGAACGACUAAAGGAUCGUUCCUCGUAGAACAAAAAUUAGAAGUCACGUCACAUCGAACAACUAACAUCACACUUAUCGCUAUAUUGUUUUAUUCGUUAUCAGCUCCUCGAAUAAACUUUGGCUCGUUUUUGAUUAACAGUUCCUUAUACAACGACGUUCUACUCGGUGCCACUUGAGACGAGGAAAUGAAAUUGAAGCGUAAAGUUCUACCGAACACCAUUUAAUCACUCAGACGUAAUCGUAACGACAAUCAUACAAAUAUGUUUCUUUUUUUGUCUUUCAAGUAAUUAAAACGCGAUCGAGAAGUCUCGAAACCCGUUUUUCCAGUUUGCUUCUCGUUUCCAAGAUUUUUUUUUGCGGGUCUGCAAAUAAAAAUCAUCCCUGUCUCGUAGAUGCGCCGUUCUCUCCCACGAAAAUCGGCGUGUCACGUAUAUGCGAGCGUCGCGUGGUAACGAAUGCGUUAAUUUGGCCGCGCUCGGAAGAAUAUGGUUGCAAUGGUUAUACUCGCGUGAAAACCGCAAACAUUUGUAACUCACUGCGGAACAUUUUGUUUAUUCAUUUAUUUUUCCAUUUGUUUGCCCGGGGACCGGAGAACCCUCCAUCUCCAUGGAUACGAUACACGUCGGUCUGGAGAAGCAUACUGUACAUACAGAGAAAACGGAACGUGCAAUGAAAUGAUGUAGCAGUUAUCGGAGAUUACGUAAUAAUAUUCGGAUAUCCCGGAGAAUAUCGCGCAUUUCAAGACCCUAAUUUAUUAACUGACAACAGAGCGUAAUUUCAAGCGUGAUGAUUUACGGCCUCCUGCCAUCGUUCCGAAUGGAAUUGCGUUCCCUUCCCGCGCAAUUCCGUUUGCUCGGUUGCAAAAAGUAGACGGAAUCUUUGACUCGAACAACUCGCGAACGACCGCCGAGAUAACCGCCUGUCCAAUUAAUAACAGCUUAGACAAUGGCUACAUAAUCGGUGGACGAUCAACUUUAUCGAAUUCUUUCGUAAAAUCGGUACAGGCAUUAUCGACAUAAUACUUUAAUCUUCGGAGUCAGUCACGUAGUUGUAAACUAAUGCUUAGAUUGUUACACUAUCAGGUAGCUGGAUCGAUAGAAUCAGGGUUGGCUUCCAAGUUUGCGUUUGAAAAAUAAAGUAAAUACGCGGUAAUCCUCCGCAAAGUUCGCUCGAAUCGAUUCUAAUAUCGUUGAUUAAUCUUGUAUAACAUCCGAGGAAUCUACGUUAAACGCUUUCGAUCGCGUGAAUGCGCAUAAUUUGUUAGGGGACCCGAAUAAUGCUCCGUACUCCAACUUAGAAGCAAGGAACGUGUUACCGUCGCGAUGCUGCGGCUAAACAUAUUCAUUUGGACAUAUUCGCGACAGCAAUUAUUGCGUCUGCGUUCUCGCCGCUCCCCUCCCGCCUAGUUACAUGCUAACACGUAUACUAUACAUAUCGAGUGCGAUAACGAGCAACUCCAGUACACGUGUUCACGCUCCCGACGUCAAUUAGGUCCACCUACCGUCUCGCCGUCAUCUGCCGCACGACUUGUUCCUUCUUCGCGCCUUUUCCGCUCCGCUUCCGCGUUACCUAUGCGAAAGAGUAAGGAGUAACGAGUUAGGCAACGGUCGUAUCGAAUCCGCCGUCGUUGCGUUCAGAAAUGAGCACUAGGAAAUAAGAGACAAACAGGACAGAUUAAAUUCAGAGCCAACACGUUGACUGCUGAACUAACGGUGAAAAUUCCAACAAAGUUAAAAUUUUGUUUCUAUAGAAUUAGACACGACGAUCCAACUUCUAGUGGUAUUUAUUUCCGCGACCUCUUUAAAAUUUAUCAUUUUAUUUCCGCGGUGAAAAUCCUUGCUCACCCAUACGUGGCGGUGAACGUGUUAGAGUUAAAUUAAAAUCAGGUGAAUGGGGACCAGUUUCAAUCCGCAAGAAAUUUAAUUAAAACUGUUUGGAAUAUGUAGCUAACUUCAAGUGGCUACACGUUACCAUAGUUAACGAACAACUGACUAAUGGACUUAGGCCACUUUCAAAAUGGACGGCCCGUACGGCGUAUGCAAAGAACUCCAUUUAACCGUUAAUCUAUGCCGAUGUGUUGUCAACUGAAAAAAAAAAUAACGUUGAAAGUUAUGAAAAACAUUAUCCGGAGGAUGAAUUAUUCAUUUCCGUGACGGCAAGCAAAGCACUGUUACGUCUAUUAGAGUUAACGAAACUCCAGAAAGCUUUGCGGAAUUGUUCGAGAUAUCGAGUCCACACUGUUUGUACGCAUUCGCGCGAGCAUUGCAAGGAUAAGUUUCGAAUGAUGCGAACGUGUGCGAACGCAAACGGGAGUGUUACAUAAAAACAGCUUCGGUUACGCGGAGGAAGCGCUUGCGCGAAAUCCAAGAGCCAACGGAAACGAUGCGCGACGAGAAACGAAAUCGAUGUCGGAUCAUCGAUCGAAUGUAACGACGAAUUCCGAAAGACGAGCCAACACGAUACUGUCGUGGUAUUCUUAUGCCGCCACUCGAUAAUGUAAUGGAAAAUGUAACAAGUAAUGGAAUAUUUAAACGUUUGAAAAAACGUACAGAGAGCAUAACGAAUGUUAUCGUUUCAACGGAAUGUUUUACAGGAAUUUAUCCAACACCUGCUGGAACGAAACAAUAUCUUAACACAAAACGUGAAAUAUACGGAACGGUCUUACUUGGAUUCAAAUUUCCAAUAAAAUAUGACACCCGAGAAAUACUAAUAAUUUUGUACUUUUGUAAGGAACUAAAGUUUACCUAAAUAAAUCAAAUAAACGUUUGCCCAUAAAUCAUUCCAGGAAAACUCUAGUCAUUAUUGAAGCAUGACACGAUCGGUCCAUAUGGAAUCUGACGGGAGCAGGAAGGGGGAAACAUUUUAUUUGAAUAAUGGAUGACGUUCAUUCGAUGGAACGAAAUAUUUCAUUGUUCAGGGAGCACGGGAGAUUUGUAAACGUAAAUAUUUUUCGUAAAUUGUUCGAGUAGUCCUAGCUCUUCCCUACACCCUCGUCACAUGUCCCCGCCCUAUUCUGUUAGCAACGUUGUGUGAUGCGAGCGCGGCUUUGUAUCGUCGCGUACUUCCACGGACAGGCGUCGGUUAUUAUUGUUGCGUAAUGUUUACGUCACUUACACGUACGCAAUUGAAUAACCAUAAGCGUUGUGUGCCGCGUACUAUCUCGGUCAUUUUUCCUCCGUUUCGCCUCGUUCGAAUUCAUACCGACCAAUCCACUGUUUCCUUCCUGCCUCGCCACCUCUUUUCAUCCUCCCGAAUAAAUUCGUAUCCGUGUAAUACUAGUCGAAUCACUGAUGUGUAAAUAUCCACGAAAUAAUUCCUUCGUGCUUCCAAUGCUGGAGCAAACAGUUGGACGAGUGUUUUUAGUCGUCUUUAUUCGAGAGUAAUUAGUACGAAAGAAUUAUAGACGCUCAGACCAGAGAAAUCGUAUAAAAGAAUUACGACUGACGUCUCGAUCACGACGAGGACCCUCUUCAGCCUCAAGUUCGUCGAACACGCUACAAGGAAAGGUUGAAAAUAUAAUUAGAAAGAUGGUUUCUAAAUAUACACAAGUGGCUGACGUAUGUAGAUGGUCACCUUUCUGGGUUUUAGUUUCCCAGAAGGCAAUUUCAUAUGUUACACGUUCGAGUAAAGUUUUACUUUGGAUUGUUAAACGAAAUUUCGUUCGGUCUACAUUUUCCCUUUCUGGGUUUUAGUUUCCCGGAACGCAAUUUCAUAUGUUACACGUUCGAGUAAAGUUCGAGUUUGGAUUUGUUAAAUGAAGUUCCAUUUGAUCUACAUCCUUUAAAUAUGAUGGUUUAUUGCUGAGUAAAUAAAGAUUAAUCUGCGCAACUUCACUCGGAUAGUGUAUUUAUCUCUGUCUUCCAACUUUCAUUCGUGUAAGUAUCGGAAUUCGCUUCGUACGAUUCGUUCCGGGUCAUUCCACGCGAAAUCGAUCACUUUUUGCUGUCGAUGUCAGGGAUUUCGUUGAAAUUGAAAUACGAUGUAGUCGACGUGAAAUUAGGGGAGGGUUGAAGUAAUCGCUUAGUUGCACUCGAAUCUCUUCGAAAAAUAUCGAACGUCGAGUAUUGUGAUUUUUGAAAACACGCUGUUCAAAUGAAUUUUUAUUUCUGGAAUAAUCAACCGUAAUAAAAUCCUCGAUGAAAUUCUGCGAACUUCUGAUCGACCUCUGUUUUCAGAGAUCUGAAAAGUAUUUACGUAUUUCUAAAAGGCUCCUCUACGGGACAAGGUUAUUUCCAAGUAGGCGUUUUAUAAUUGACAUCGUAAUGAGUUGUUACAGCUGCUCAGGUAACCGAUUCGGACGGUGGCUACUACGGUCGGCUGACCGUAUCGUUCUCGCGCUGUAUUCUCUGAAUGAAGUGUACAAACGAAAUCGCCAGGUUUCAUUGCCACUCCAAUGAUGCAUUCAUACCUUUAUAGUAGUUCCACUGACCUACUCCUCGCCAAUGAUACUUUUUUCAUAUUAAGGUUCUCGAAUACCUUGCUUGUUUUUUGUUAACGAUGUAAAAGUCGCAUUACCUUCUGCACUCUGUUUGUCCGUAAAUUUAAGACCAUCAACUUGAUGACUCAAACCCUCCUUAAUUUUACCUACGCAACGACAUAUUUCAGUUUCCAUGAAAUCCCUCGCCUAGAUCGUACGAAGCAUUCGAUUCGAAGUGGAACGAUCGUCGUUCGAGUUUCCUUUUCACGCGAUUCGUUUCACGUUCACGAUUGUGAAUCCCUUUGGUCUCCUCGCUCGAGAAACCGGAAGGACAAUGAAAGUGUCCGUCGAAGGACGUUAACGGCCAACGAGAAUAGCGUGCUUGUCGCGAAAAAGUCUGUUUGCAAAUUAGAUCGUAAGCGUACCUAUCUCGACUCGUUCGAUAAAACCGGAUAGCGGCGUGUACGAUGCAGGUGUAUUAUCGCUCGGAAGGAAUCUUUUAUUUUUUUCUCGUCAAGUGCACGCCAGAGCAAAUCCAUUUACCAUAAAGGCUGGGCAUUUUGCAAUUCCUCUCGGCGCCGUCGAGACUCCGAGCGUGGCGAGACAAAACAGAAUCUGAUGGGAAAAUCGCAAAUUUAUUUUCGUGGUGCCCGUUGAAGUUUCUGGGACGAUUUAUAUCCUUCGAAUUCAACUAAUCGACCACCGAUUAUUCGCAAUAAUAUAUAGUACCGUUAACUAAAUAGAAAUCCAAAGUAAAA
Hylaeus anthracinus is the source of this 5367-nucleotide long non-coding RNA. RefSeq lists it as uncharacterized. NCBI's taxonomy places the organism in Eukaryota, Metazoa, Arthropoda, Insecta, Hymenoptera, Colletidae. The record is from RefSeq and is a predicted model, not a curated record. The transcript is spliced from 2 exons.